AUGUGGGGGACGCAUGCGCGCCGCUGCGGCACCCGCACAGGCCAUGCCCCCUUCGUUGGCUGCCCGGGGCAGCGCGAGAGGGUAUCGCUUCUGGCCAACCAGUGUAUGCAUCCACUGCUACCAAAAGAUUACAGCUCCAGCUGAAAGAUUACUGCUGACGUAAACUGUGACAGCCCAGGAGAGUCCUGUAUCAAGGCAUUCCACACUUGUACAGAGAGAAAAGAUAAUGAGAAGCUGACUGCUCUUCAUCCACACAGCAAUUUUGAUCCCACGACGGUGAGGGAAUGACAUUAUAAUUCCAAUUCAGAUUGGUCUGUGGCUUGGAGGCAAAUUCCAUGGUUUGUUGACACCCUGGAAUAAAGUACGACAAAUUGAUAUGAGGUGGCGAGAAAACUGACGAUCUUCACCUAUUUUGGACCUUCGACAGGACACCACUCCCUCAGCACUGUAUUGAAAUGAGAGUGCAGAUUGAACCCACUAUUUCUAACUCAAAGGGAAAACAACCACCACAGGACUACGGUUGACUACUUAUGUGAAAAUUGGAUCUGGAAGGAUUGAUCGAGAUCUUGAUGUUACUUUGCAAAAGUUUCUCAUGGCAAACCCCAAUGAUGGUCAUUGAACUACCACUUUUGGAAUUCUAUGAAGACAAUUCAAGCACAGUAGACAACGGGGACCCAGUAGAUGUGGUGUACCUAGAUUUCCAAAAGACCUUCAACAAGGUGCCACACAAGAGGCUGCUGCAUGAGAUAAAGAUGUAUGGUGUUACGGAAACCUGGAAGAGGAUGGGAUAACGUCAGACUUCAGACUGACCGAUGAUUUCAGGGGAUUUAACUCCCUGCAUGUACACAAACUAGCUUCCCGUUCCCUGGCAAAGCACCCGCACUCCUUGAUAAUAUUCUUGAUUAAGGAAGACAGGCUGUUGAACCUUCUCAUCCUGGGUUCAUCAGGACACACUCUGGAAUGCCACACUUCAUAAGGAGCAGUCAUUUAUAUUGAAUGAGAGAAGGAUUGGCAAGUCAACGCUGAUUGCUCAAGACCAUGCCAUGGAGAGUGCACCAGGGAACUAUUAUUUUAUUUUACUUUUAUUUUAUUUUUCAGCAGUACUUCAAACUCUCUGCUAUCCUUUUGUGAUCAGCUCACAGCAUGUAACAAAUCAGAAUACAAAUAUAAAUCCAUGGUGAAUUUUGAGUGGGUCUUUUAACAAAUAAGAGCUUCAGGCUUUUUUUUUCAUGGUUUGAUUUAGGAUUACCACUCAGAAUUUGGACGAUAACAACUUGAGUGUUGAACUUACUGCUAGAGAUGUUUUCUCUCAGCUUCUUGCAUUCAAGGUUAUAUCAGGAUUUUGGCUCUGGAAUGGCAGGAGAUAGUCACCAUAUAGUUGGGAAUGAGAAAGUACACAGUAAAGAUGGGGAGGUACGGAGGCUCAGUGGUUAGCACUGCUGCCUCACAGCUUUAGCGGCUCCAAUUCAA
This is a non-coding RNA of Chiloscyllium plagiosum (whitespotted bambooshark), 1470 nucleotides long. The record is from RefSeq and is a predicted model, not a curated record. NCBI's taxonomy places the organism in Eukaryota, Metazoa, Chordata, Chondrichthyes, Orectolobiformes, Hemiscylliidae.